GUAGGGUGCAAGCGUUAUCCGGGAAUCAUUGGGCGUAAAGAGCUCGUAGGCGGUUCAGCAAGUCGGCUGUGAAAUCCCGAGGCUUAACCUCGGAACUGCAGUCGAUACUGCUGUGACUAGAGUCCGGUAGAGGAGAAUGGAAUUCCCGGUGUAGCGGUGAAAUGCGCAGAUAUCGGGAGGAACACCAGUAGCGAAGGCGGUUCUCUGGGCCGGUACUGACGCUGAGGAGCGAAAGCGUGGGUAGCAAACAGGAUUAGAUACCCUGGUAGUCCACGCCGUAAACGUUGGACACUAGGUGUGGCGUUCCGACCAACGGGUGCCGUGCCGAAGCUAACGCAUUAAGUGUCCCGCCUGGGGAGUACGGCCGCAAAGGCUA
Molecule: ribosomal RNA, 376 nt
Filed under: uncultured organism
Description: partial 16S ribosomal RNA
Rfam family: Bacterial small subunit ribosomal RNA
Source: RNAcentral